This is a long non-coding RNA of Diabrotica virgifera virgifera (western corn rootworm), 521 nucleotides long. RefSeq lists it as uncharacterized. NCBI's taxonomy places the organism in Eukaryota, Metazoa, Arthropoda, Insecta, Coleoptera, Chrysomelidae. The record is from RefSeq and is a predicted model, not a curated record. The transcript is spliced from 4 exons.
GUGCACUCUCAAAUGGUUUUUCAAAUUAAUUGCUUGACUAAAUUGUUUAAAACAAAUCUCACACUUGUAAGGUUUUUGCUCAGAGUGCACUCUCAAAUGGUUUUUCAAAUUAAUUGCUUGACUAAAUUGUUUAAAACAAAUCUCACACUUGUAAGGUUUUUCCCCAGUGUGCACUCUCAAAUGCAUUUUCAAAGUACUUGCUUGACUAAAUUGCUUAAAACAAAUCUCACACUUGUAAGGUUUUUCCCCAGUGUGCACUCUCAAAUGCAUUUUCAAAGUACUUGCUUGACUAAAUUGCUUAAAACAAAUCUCACACUUGUAAGGUUUUUCCCCAGUGUGCACUCUCAAAUGUGUUUUUAAAUAGGUCGUUGUAGUAAAUUGCUUAAAACAAAUCUCACACUUGUAAGGUGUUUCCCCAGUGUGCACUCUCAAAUGUUUUGUCAAGUCACUAGCAGAACUACAAUGUUUUAAAGAAAUUUCACAUUUAAAAAGUCUUUUUCCGGUCACAACUUCCAUAUUUU